UAUCACUUGAAUCAUUCUCCUGACUCUGAAAACAGCCUCUGGAAUUGAAAGUUCCUGUGCACUCACUCCCCCUGAGCAUACGGAUUCUCUGGACAUGGCCAAUGACAGAGGGCACUAAAGUAAUAACCACUGUCUUCAGUAUUGCUUCGUACGGAGUCUGGUGAUUCCCUGUAAUCCAUUCUCUGAGAUCCUCAGGAUUCUGACUUUGAAGAAGACUACUUGCCUUGGGAUCACUGGGUGUAAAUUUCUACUAUGAAUCUGGAGCAGACAUAUGGCACUAGCUAUGCAGGUAAGCGCUUUAAUUAGUCUUCUCUUAGUAGAACUGAGGAAAUAAUUUUUCACUGAGAUGGACAAGC
RNAcentral lists this long non-coding RNA (356 nucleotides) under Anser brachyrhynchus (Pink-footed goose). Its description in RNAcentral is "lncRNA (ENSABRG00000000771.1)". Lineage: Eukaryota; Metazoa; Chordata; Aves; Anseriformes; Anatidae. The record is from RNAcentral.